This 1059-nucleotide long non-coding RNA is filed under the name Oryzias sinensis (Chinese medaka). RNAcentral's name for it is "lncRNA (ENSOSIG00000006490.1)". The record is from RNAcentral. Lineage: Eukaryota; Metazoa; Chordata; Actinopteri; Beloniformes; Adrianichthyidae.
CGAAAGUGUACCUGGCCCUUUUCACCUAUGUCUGUGAUCGCUUGAAGCGAAAUCAGCCAACUGUUGGAACAUCUUUAGUGGUGACCUGCAUCUGCUCACAGGUCGAGGCCGAACCGUUUUCCUUGUGCUUCGCUUGUCAGGAGUCUUUCCUUCAGUCCCAUCUAAGCAUCCACUUUGAAUCUAAAAGGCACCUCAUCAACACACUGCUGUACCUGAAUCCUUGGCGGCUGCCUUUUGGCUGGCAGGACAGCCUGGACGAAAGCCCACUGAGGUUGAUGGCAAGAGAGGAGGAAGGAGAAGGCACAGAUGUUAUUUUGAAGGUAAACGCAAACUGAUGUCAACUAUGACUCGACAAAUAAAAGCUUAACGUCUACAUUGUGAAAAUAUUCUCUUUUUUUCAGGUUUUUGAUCUGUCAUAUGAAAUGUUUUGUAAGCUCAUACCUACAGACUACAGACAUGGUAGGAUUUUCAUUAUUACCCUCUGCCAUAAAUUUACGUUUAUUAAUGCAUUGUCUUUUUUCUUGAACUGCAGUGAUGAACAGACUUCAAGUGUAUCACAUGCCUUUAAAGUGUGAAGUUCCAAAAAAGCAAACCUUUAGCAAACUCCAACAAAAUGAGAAGUUUCCUCUGCUUGGCAUGCAGUUUUUGGUGGUUUACAAUGCCUUGUCCAGUGACUGGGAGUCUGUGCAAAAGAACCCUCUGUGUUUGCUCUGUAAAAGGAAACUGACGCAGAAUGAAUAUCCAGUUCACGUGUUCAGCUGGGAACACGUGAUGCUUUUUCUGAAUGCCUUUCACCCCGGCUCACUGAACUUCAGUACUGUUGAUGCAGAAACGUUGUUGGAUUUGGCAAAACAGGCAGGCUCUGUUCACCACCUAUCCUGUGUGCAGGAAAUUUGCCUGGAUAGGCCCAUCGUUGAGCCGUGUUCCUAUCAAAAAGGUGAGUCGUUUGUGCACUUUUUUUUUUUUAACCAAAACUGUCAUGAAAACUUAUUGGCUGUAUCAUUUCAGCAACGCAGAUCUUGGCCUCUGCAAAGAGGAAGGAAGGAAAAGGAAGUCUGG